This 72-nucleotide transfer RNA is filed under the name Camelus bactrianus (Bactrian camel). It matches the Rfam family "tRNA". From Rfam's summary of the family: Transfer RNA (tRNA) molecules are approximately 80 nucleotides in length. Their secondary structure includes four short double-helical elements and three loops (D, anti-codon, and T loops). Further hydrogen bonds mediate the characteristic L-shaped molecular structure. tRNAs have two regions of fundamental functional importance: the anti-codon, which is responsible for specific mRNA codon recognition, and the 3' end, to which the tRNAs corresponding amino acid is attached (by aminoacyl-tRNA synthetases). tRNAs cope with the degeneracy of the genetic code in two manners: having more than one tRNA (with a specific anti-codon) for a particular amino acid; and 'wobble' base-pairing, i.e. permitting non-standard base-pairing at the 3rd anti-codon position. Lineage: Eukaryota; Metazoa; Chordata; Mammalia; Artiodactyla; Camelidae. The record is from Rfam by way of RNAcentral. RNAcentral also lists the same sequence under 2 other names.
GAGGGUAGAGCUCAGUGGUAGAGGGCAUGCUUAACAUGCAUGAGGUCCUGGGUUCAAUCUCCAGUACCUCCA